RNAcentral lists this ribosomal RNA (396 nucleotides) under uncultured bacterium. RNAcentral describes it as "bacterial SSU rRNA". It matches the Rfam family "Bacterial small subunit ribosomal RNA", at positions 28 to 428 of the family's 1533-position model. The record is from RNAcentral.
AUUGAACGCUGGCGGCAUGCUUUACACAUGCAAGUCGAGCGGCAGCGCGGGAGCAAUCCUGGCGGCGAGCGGCGAACGGGUGAGUAAUGCAUCGGAACGUGUCCCGUAGUGGGGGAUAACGCCGCGAAAGCGGCGCUAAUACCGCAUAUGCUCUACGGAGGAAAGUGGGGGCUCCGCAAGGACCUCACGCUAUGGGAGCGGCCGAUGUCCGAUUAGCUUGNGGUGAGGUAAAGGCUUACCAAGGCGACGAUCGGUAGCUGGUCUGAGAGGAUGAUCAGCCACACUGGGACUGAGACACGGCCCAGACUCCUACGGGAGGCAGCAGUGGGGAAUUUUGGACAAUGGGGCAACCCUGAUCCAGCCAUGCCGCGUGCGGGAAGAAGGCCUCGGUUGUAA